RNAcentral lists this ribosomal RNA (252 nucleotides) under uncultured bacterium. Its description in RNAcentral is "partial 16S ribosomal RNA". It matches the Rfam family "Bacterial small subunit ribosomal RNA", at positions 524 to 776 of the family's 1533-position model. The record is from RNAcentral.
UACGGAGGAUGCGAGCGUUAUCCGGAUUUAUUGGGUCUAAAGGGUGCGUAGGCGGUCCGGAAAGUCAGCGGUAAAAGCCCGGGGCUCAACCCCGGCGAGCCGUUGAAACUGUCGGACUAGAGACGGCGAGAAGUACGCGGAAUGCGCGAUGUAGCGGUGAAAUGCAUAGAUAUCGCGCAGAACUCCAAUUGCGAAGGCAGCGUACCGGCGCCGGACUGACGCUGAGGCACGAAAGCGUGGGUAUCGAACAGG